ACUUGAAUGAUCGUUGUGAGAAACUUGAUCCUACCUUUGAUAUUCUACAAUGGUGGAAACAUAAUGGAUUCAAGUAUCCAAUAGUUGCGCGCAUGGCAAAAGAUGUAUUGGCUGUUCAGAUGUCUACAGUAGCAUCUGAAUCAGCUUUUUCUACUGGGGGAAGAAUCCUAGAUUCAUUUAGGAGUUCCUUAUCCCCGAGGAUGGUGGAGGCUUUGAUUUGUUCUAAAAAUUGGUAUACUUGUGAGUCUGAAGAGCCUGUUGUGCUUCGACAAUACAUGGAUGAGAUUGAUGGUUUAGAGGCAUGUGAACAAGUUUUUCUAGGUGAUGGCUCGUGUAUUACCUAUGUACUUGAGAAUCUUGGCAGUGGGUCUGGGAGUGGGACCGAUAAGAACAAUUGAAAUCUCAAGGAGCAGGUGGUCAUGGUUGCUUGAUGCAGGCCAUGAAAUGAAUGAAUGCUAGAUUUUGGAUUGGACUUUGUUUUCUAUCUAUUCUUUUGAAAUUUGAACUUGAUUUGUGUUGUUGUAGUCGAUUAGACUUAGAUUUAAUUUGUGUUGUGAUGGACUAUGGACUAUGGACUUUGGACUUUGGACUUUAAGUUUAAACUUUAAUCAUGUGUUGAGAUUUGUGGUUGUAGUCUUUUGGUUUUAAAUUUUAAUUGGGUUGUGUCUUGGAUUGAACUAAUAGAUAUUGGAGUAUUAGACUUUUGAUGA
Humulus lupulus (European hop) is the source of this 710-nucleotide long non-coding RNA. RefSeq lists it as uncharacterized. The record is from RefSeq and is a predicted model, not a curated record. NCBI's taxonomy places the organism in Eukaryota, Viridiplantae, Streptophyta, Magnoliopsida, Rosales, Cannabaceae. The transcript is spliced from 3 exons.